GGGCCCGCACAAGCGGUGGAGCAUGUGGUUUAAUUCGAUGCAACGCGAAGAACCUUACCAGCUCUUGACAUUCUGUGAACUUUCUAGAGAUAGAUCGGUGCCUUCGGGAACACAGUAACAGGUGCUGCAUGGCUGUCGUCAGCUCGUGUCGUGAGAUGUUGGGUUAAGUCCCGCAACGAGCGCAACCCUUGUCCCUAGUUGCCAGCAUUGAGUUGGGCACUCUAGGGAGACUGCCGGUGAUAAGCCGGAGGAAGGUGGGGAUGACGUCAAGUCCUCAUGGCCUUUAUGUCCUGGGCUACACACGUGCUACAAUGGUUAGGACAAAGAGUCGCGAGCUCGCAAGAGUCAGCU
RNAcentral lists this ribosomal RNA (351 nucleotides) under uncultured bacterium. Its description in RNAcentral is "bacterial SSU rRNA". It matches the Rfam family "Bacterial small subunit ribosomal RNA", at positions 917 to 1269 of the family's 1533-position model. The record is from RNAcentral.